AUGUCAAAACAAUGUUACUCUUGGAUCCAUAUCCUAUCCGCUCGUAAAACCGCAAUAAUGCUUAAUGGUGUUCCGGGAGACUGGAUCAACUACAAAAAUGGUUUGCGCCUAGGACACCCACUUUCCCCUUGUCUCUUUAUCAUAGUGGCAGACUUACUACAGCAACUCAUCUGCCAGAAUUCCCACCUACUUCACCAUCCGAUCUUUACACACCUACCACCAACCACCAUGCAAUACGUUGAUGAUACCCUCGUCACUGCCAAGGCAACUGCUGCCGCUGCAACCGCUCUCAAAAACAUCUUGCAAGAUUUCGUCCGAGCCAAUGGUCUUUCCAUUAACUUAUCUAAAACCACUUUUGUGCCGAUGAAUUUACGUCAACAACUAGUGUGGAAUCGCUACUUUGCCCAAUCUCCUCCUUCCCCCACAUCUACAUCGGACUACAACUCUCACCCACUCGACUACCCUCUGAUGCUUUUCUGCCUAUUUUGCAAAGCUGUUGCAAAGACCUCGCUGGUUGGAAAGCCAGCCUAA
This 531-nucleotide ribosomal RNA is filed under the name Triticum aestivum (bread wheat). RNAcentral describes it as "partial small subunit ribosomal RNA". The record is from RNAcentral. Lineage: Eukaryota; Viridiplantae; Streptophyta; Magnoliopsida; Poales; Poaceae.